Long non-coding RNA from Dalotia coriaria, 1387 nucleotides. RefSeq lists it as uncharacterized. The transcript is spliced from 9 exons. Lineage: Eukaryota; Metazoa; Arthropoda; Insecta; Coleoptera; Staphylinidae. The record is from RefSeq and is a predicted model, not a curated record.
ACCCACGUGGCGAUGUGCUAUUGUUUUAAUUGCUUCUUUUUCGUAUUCGCGAAGAAAAUUUAACUACCCGAGUUUAUUUACAUCCUCGCUUAUCUACGUCUCGGAAAGUGGCUACUAUAAAGCACAUGAGAUUAUGGAUUCAAAAUCAAUAAUUGCAUUGGAACCAGCAUCUGGAAGAUUGAAGAGUAAUUCAAGUGUUAAAAAUGUAAUUCAACAGAAGAACCGCGUCACAUUUAAAUUUUAAAUUUAAUUCCGCCAAUCGAUUGACCCAAAUUAUGGCUUGAAAUUAUUUAAUUAGAUUGAAAGGGAUAUUGCACCUGAGUCUCACAUCGUAGAGUAACCAUUCUUGCAUCAGAUUGGAUAUUGCAGCUGAGUCUGACAUCGUAGAAUGACCAUUUUUGCAUCAGAUUGGAUAUUGCACCUGAGUCUGACAUCUUAGAGUGACCAUUCUUGCAUCAGAUUGAAUAUUGCACCUGAGUCUGACAUCUUAGAGUGACCAUUCUUGCAUCAGAUUGGAUAUUGCACCUGAGUCUGACAUCGUAGAAUGACCAUUCUUGCAUGAGAUUGUGUUCUGCACCCGCACUUUUAUGGAAAAACUUUUGAAUUAACGAGAAAAAUUUACUUUUUGUAUUUCCAAGCACUGAUUUUUGCUGGUUACUGAAACUGUUUGUUUAGAUUUAGUCAUUCUGAAUAGUUUUUGGAUUAUACAUAACAUGGAUUGUGUUUUAUUAAUUUUCGUUCAAGUGAGUGAAAUAGAAAUAUCAGGAUGAAGUGUUAUGUUUAAUCUAUGUACUCUAUAUGAUCUGCAGAAUUUUCUGCACCUUGUUUAUGCUCUCAGUUCGACCUUGGCUUGCACAGCACGCUGUGCGCUGACAUUUGAAAUUUGAACAGUACCGCACCGGUCGCCGUAUGUCGUCGGCUUCAAGUGACAAUUCUCUAUACUGCUCAGCACAUCUUGCGCUGUCGUUUAUCCUGUUUAGUCAGUCAGAGGUACGCAAUUGUGUGGCGUGUUCUGUUUCACCGCCGGUCUUCAUCGCGACUGUUAACAUUUCGGGAGACUUUAAUACGGUGCGAGCCUUAGAAUCGUUUAGUCAUCGAUUGCUAUUAACAACUGAACAAGUGAUUUAUCUCGAAUCGACUCGAGGCUUAAGACACCACGUGCGCGUGUGUAAGCCAUCAGCCGCCGGCCGUCGGAUCUCUUACGUUGGGCUACGGAUUCUAAUUGGAUUUAUAGGCCAAAAUGGUAUUGUUAAUUCGAGGGGAUAAAUCACACGAUUUCUCCGGGUGGCAUAGUUGUUAGUAAUACAGAUAUGCGUCUUAAAUCAUAUUUCAUAUGAAGCUUAUGUGAGUGCAACAUAACUAAAGCAUGAGUUGUCGUUUUUAAAAA